AAGGACUCCUGGACGUCAAUUUUCUGCAACACCUGGAACCAGACGGACAGAGAGAACUUGACUUGUUCAGGUCCUCGGUGACUGUGCAACCAGGUGCCUGCUGAUGCUUACUGAAUGAACAAACGAUGCAGGAAGGCAACUAACACACACAGUGCUCCUGCUGAGCUCAGCCAGCCCUCACUGCCCGGAUGUACGUAUUUGCCACGUUUUAUAGGGAACAAAUUGCAACCACCACCUGCUAUCACCCACCCACCUUUGCUGACACCUGUAAAGUUGCCAACCCG
This is a long non-coding RNA of Cercocebus atys (sooty mangabey), 284 nucleotides long. RefSeq lists it as uncharacterized. The record is from RefSeq and is a predicted model, not a curated record. Lineage: Eukaryota; Metazoa; Chordata; Mammalia; Primates; Cercopithecidae. The transcript has 3 exons.